Long non-coding RNA from Dicentrarchus labrax (European seabass), 387 nucleotides. RefSeq lists it as uncharacterized. The record is from RefSeq and is a predicted model, not a curated record. NCBI's taxonomy places the organism in Eukaryota, Metazoa, Chordata, Actinopteri, Moronidae. The transcript is spliced from 3 exons.
UCUCUCUCGCUCUCUCUCCAUCUCAGUCUCUGGCUCAGAGCAGUUCGUUCGGCAGAGCGGUAUAACAGAGUAGAGUGUGCGUUUGCUGUGCCGUGUGUGUGUGUAUGUGUGUGUCCAGAGCAUCGUUCGCAGUGAGAAAACGGAGAGAGAGAGAGACAGAUAGAGAGGAAAAGAAAGAGAGAGACAUCCAGAGGCAGGACUGAGCGGACUGAGAGAAAGCAACACUCCUCACCACCGCAGUUGGAUAGACAGAGAGAUGCUAGCAGUCUAACAGAAGCUCCUCACAUUACUUCGACAUCCCGGCCACAGACGACCGCAGCUCCAACAGGCUGACACUUAACUGAAGACACAUCCAAAGGUCUCACCCACUUUGCCAACAUCCUAACG